Molecule: ribosomal RNA, 253 nt
Filed under: uncultured bacterium
Lineage: Bacteria
Description: partial 16S ribosomal RNA
Rfam family: Bacterial small subunit ribosomal RNA
Source: RNAcentral
UACGUAGGGGGCAAGCGUUGUCCGGAUUUAUUGGGCGUAAAGCGCUCGCAGGUGGUUCGUCGCGUCGUGCGUGAAAGACCCCGGCUCAACUGGGGGAGGUCGUGCGAUACGGGCGGACUGGAGGCCAGUAGGGGGAUGCGGAAUUCCGGGUGUAGCGGUGAAAUGCGUAGAUAUCUGGAGGAACACCGGUGGCGAAGGCGGCGUUCUGGACUGUUUCUGACACUGAAAAACGAAAGCCAGGGGAGCAAACGGG